UGAAAAGUUGAAUGAGUCAUACAGCCUGUAC
Molecule: non-coding RNA, 31 nt
Filed under: Mus musculus (house mouse)
Lineage: Eukaryota; Metazoa; Chordata; Mammalia; Rodentia; Muridae
Source: RNAcentral